GCCAUGGGACGAUACCUAGAGAAAAAGGCUGUCUGUAAACCAGGAAGAUAAACCUCGCCAGAUACUGAAUAUCCUGGUGCCUUGAUCUUCAAUUUUCUAGCUUCCAGAACUGUUACAUCUCAAGGAGAAGGAUUGCCAGAUCAAAAGUCUUGCAGUUAACCAGGCGUGGUGGCAGAUACCUGUAAUCCCAGCUAUUCGGGAGGCUGAGGCAGGAGAAUCGCUUGUACCCGGGAGGCAGAGGUUGCAGUGAGCUGAGACCGCGCCAUUGACUCCUGCCUGAUGACAAGAGAGAAUCUACGUCUCAACAACAACAACACGCUUGGGCACUGUAUUAACUCCAUAAUCGCCUCUGUGCUCUUUCCCCUGUGGACAAUAACUACCAUUUCAUCCUGGACACCCAUUGUUUGCCUGGACCACACCUUGUUAUGACCAUAACCCUCAGUCAGACUCAACCUUCCUUCAAGAUCUGCAGAUCUAAAUUUUAUUGGGAACAGCUAGUUUGACAAGCAUAGACCAGAUGUCCAGUUGUCAUUCAUUCAGCAGGAGCAGCAAGAUUCAAUCAUGUUUUUAUUAUAUUAUUUCCUGAAACUUGUGGCUGUAACAAUGAAGUUUGAGGAUUGGUCUGUGUAAGUAUGGCAGAAGUGAUGUUAAGUCGCUUAUGAGAUUAGGGUAUAAAAGACUAAGGCUUCCAUGCUUCCAUCUUGGUCUCUGUCUCUCAGAGAACAGUCAUGUGAAUGAUUCUUCUUGAAAGUAAAUCUUCCAGCCCCAGUCCAGUAUUCAAAUGAUCCAGCAACAUUGCAACUUAUGAGAGACCUUGAGCCAUCCAGGUAACAUGCUUCCAAAUCCUGACCCUUAAAACCUGUAAAAUAAUAAAUGUGGUUUUAAACUCUUAAGUAAUUUGUUACAUAGUAAUAAAUAGCUAAUACACC
Homo sapiens (human) is the source of this 929-nucleotide long non-coding RNA. Ensembl annotates it as MIR4300 host gene. NCBI's taxonomy places the organism in Eukaryota, Metazoa, Chordata, Mammalia, Primates, Hominidae. The record is from Ensembl.